AGGAUAAUAGUUAAUAAUAACAUUUAAUUUGCAAUUAAAAAUAAUCGAACAAUCGGUUUAUCUUA
Molecule: transfer RNA, 65 nt
Filed under: Diaclina fagi
Lineage: Eukaryota; Metazoa; Arthropoda; Insecta; Coleoptera; Tenebrionidae
Description: tRNA-Ala
Source: RNAcentral